GACGAACGCUGGCGGCGUGCUUAACACAUGCAAGUCGAACGGAAAGGCCCUGCUUUUGUGGGGUGCUCGAGUGGCGAACGGGUGAGUAACACGUGAGUAACCUGCCCUUGACGUUGGGAUAACUUCAGGAAACUGGGGCUAAUACCGUAUAGGAGCUCCUGCUGCAUGGUGGGGGUUGGAAAGUUUCGGCGGUUGGGGAUGGACUCGCGGCUUAUCAGCUUGUUGGUGGGGUAGUGGCUUACCAAGGCUUUGACGGGUAGCCGGCCUGAGAGGGUGACCGGCCACAUUGGGACUGAGAUACGGCCCAGACUCCUACGGGAGGCGGCAGUGGGGAAUAUUGCACAAUGGGCGGAAGCCUGAUGCAGCAACGCCGCGUGCGGGAUGACGGCCUUCGGGUUGUAAACCGCUUUCGCCUGUGACGAAGCGUGAGUGACGGUAAUGGGUAAAGAAGCACCGGCUAACUACGUG
This 468-nucleotide ribosomal RNA is filed under the name uncultured bacterium. RNAcentral describes it as "partial 16S ribosomal RNA". It matches the Rfam family "Bacterial small subunit ribosomal RNA", at positions 28 to 507 of the family's 1533-position model. The record is from RNAcentral.